This 484-nucleotide ribosomal RNA is filed under the name uncultured bacterium. Its description in RNAcentral is "partial 16S ribosomal RNA". It matches the Rfam family "Bacterial small subunit ribosomal RNA", at positions 30 to 507 of the family's 1533-position model. The record is from RNAcentral.
AUUGAACGCUGGCGGCAGGCCUAACACAUGCAAGUCGAGCGGAUGAAGGGAGCUUGCUCCUGGAUUCAGCGGCGGACGGGUGAGUAAUGCCUAGGAAUCGGCCUGGUAGUGGGGGAUAACGUCCGGAAACGGGCGCUAAUACCGCAUACGUCCUGAGGGAGAAAGUGGGGGAUCUUCGGACCUCACGCUAUCAGAUGAGCCUAGGUCGGAUUAGCUAGUUGGUGGGGUAAAGGCCUACCAAGGCGACGAUCCGUAACUGGUCUGAGAGGAUGAUCAGUCACACUGGAACUGAGACACGGUCCAGACUCCUACGGGAGGCAGCAGUGGGGAAUAUUGGACAAUGGGCGAAAGCCUGAUCCAGCCAUGCCGCGUGUGUGAAGAAGGUCUUCGGAUUGUAAAGCACUUUAAGUUGGGAGGAAGGGCAGUAAGUUAAUACCUUGCUGUUUUGACGUUACCAACAGAAUAAGCACCGGCUAACUUCGUG